CCCCUGUCAGGGUUGCAUCUGGAGAGUUUCCAGUACUCUACCAGUCUCGAUUAUGGGAGGGAGAGUCAAGCAGAGGCAUAUCCAUUUUAUUCCUAGUUGGGCAGUGGUUAGUGAGUGGAAGGCAAUCUGCUACAAGU
Small nucleolar RNA from Ornithorhynchus anatinus (platypus), 137 nucleotides. The record is from RefSeq and is a predicted model, not a curated record. NCBI's taxonomy places the organism in Eukaryota, Metazoa, Chordata, Mammalia, Monotremata, Ornithorhynchidae.